Molecule: long non-coding RNA, 331 nt
Organism: Myotis lucifugus (little brown bat)
Lineage: Eukaryota; Metazoa; Chordata; Mammalia; Chiroptera; Vespertilionidae
Exons: 3
Source: RefSeq, a predicted model, not a curated record
UGUUCCCACUCAGGCCCACGGGGCCGGCGAUGAUCAGCAUGAACAGGCCAGGGCGAGCCGAUGCAUCUGAGUGCUUCAUAAAAGAAAUAAAUCUACAAAUCAGGGGAGGGAGAGGUGACAGUUGAGAAAUGAAAGUAUGUAAACAAUAACAUGAACUGCACUUCAGUCUGAUUCAUCUGUACAUGUGGGACUCUUCAGUUAUAAUUGAAACAAACUACUAUCUCUCAGAAGAUGUACUGCUUCAUAGUUUAUUACCAAGAGCAUAUUGUGAGCCAGUAGAAAAUUCCUGAACUUAGAAUAAAAAAGUAGUGGACUUUCUGACAAGCAAUGU